GCAGACAUGGCCGAGUGGUUAAGGCGACAGACUUGAAAUCUGUUACCAUCUUGG
RNAcentral lists this transfer RNA (54 nucleotides) under Daphnia magna. It matches the Rfam family "tRNA", at positions 1 to 51 of the family's 71-position model. Rfam says of the family: Transfer RNA (tRNA) molecules are approximately 80 nucleotides in length. The record is from Rfam by way of RNAcentral. Lineage: Eukaryota; Metazoa; Arthropoda; Branchiopoda; Diplostraca; Daphniidae.